AUUGAACGCUGGCGGCAGGCCUAACACAUGCCAGUCGAGCGGAUGAAGGGAGCUUGCUCCUGGAUUCAGCGGCGGACGGGUGAGUAAUGCCUAGGAAUCUGCCUGGUAGUGGGGGAUAACGUCCGGAAACGGGCGCUAAUACCGCAUACGUCCUGAGGGAGAAAGUGGGGGAUCUUCGGACCUCACGCUAUCAGAUGAGCCUAGGUCGGAUUAGCUAGUUGGUGGGGUAAAGGCCUACCAAGGCGACGAUCCGUAACUGGUCUGAGAGGAUGAUCAGUCAACAUGGAACUGGGACACGGUCCAGGCGACUACGGGAGGCAGCAGUGGGGAAUAUUGGACAAUGGGCGAAAGCCUGAUCCAGCCAUGCCGCGUGUGUGAAGAAGGUCUUCGGAUUGUAAAGCACUUUAAGUUGGGAGGAAGGGCAGUAAGUUAAUACCUUGCUGUUUUGACGUUACCAACAGAAUAAGCACCGGCUAACUUCGUG
RNAcentral lists this ribosomal RNA (484 nucleotides) under uncultured bacterium. RNAcentral's name for it is "partial 16S ribosomal RNA". It matches the Rfam family "Bacterial small subunit ribosomal RNA", at positions 30 to 507 of the family's 1533-position model. The record is from RNAcentral.